This 429-nucleotide ribosomal RNA is filed under the name Chloroflexota bacterium. RNAcentral's name for it is "Chloroflexi bacterium partial 16S ribosomal RNA". It matches the Rfam family "Bacterial small subunit ribosomal RNA", at positions 355 to 776 of the family's 1533-position model. The record is from RNAcentral. Lineage: Bacteria; Bacillati; Chloroflexota.
UGGGGAAUAUUGCACAAUGGGCGCAAGCCUGAUGCAGCCAUGCCGCGUGUAUGAAGAAGGCCUUCGGGUUGUAAAGUACUUUCAGUCGGGAGGAAGGUGGUAAGGUUAAUAACCUUAUCAAUUGACGUUACCGACAGAAGAAGCACCGGCUAACUCCGUGCCAGCAGCCGCGGUAAUACGGAGGGUGCAAGCGUUAAUCGGAAUUACUGGGCGUAAAGCGCACGCAGGCGGUUGAUUGAGUCAGAUGUGAAAUCCCCGGGCUUAACCUGGGAACUGCAUCUGAUACUGGCAAGCUUGAGUCUCGUAGAGGGGGGUAGAAUUCCAGGUGUAGCGGUGAAAUGCGUAGAGAUCUGGAGGAAUACCGGUGGCGAAGGCGGCCCCCUGGACGAAGACUGACGCUCAGGUGCGAAAGCGUGGGGAGCAAACAGG